Molecule: ribosomal RNA, 460 nt
Filed under: uncultured bacterium
Lineage: Bacteria
Description: partial 16S ribosomal RNA
Rfam family: Bacterial small subunit ribosomal RNA
Source: RNAcentral
CCUACGGGCGGCAGCAGUGAGGAAUAUUGGUCAAUGGACGCAAGUCUGAACCAGCCAUGCCGCGUGCAGGAAGACGGCUCUAUGAGUUGUAAACUGCUUUUGUACGAGGGUAAACGCAGAUACGCGUAUCUGUCUGAAAGUAUCGUACGAAUAAGGAUCGGCUAACUCCGUGCCAGCAGCCGCGGUAAUACGGAGGAUUCAAGCGUUAUCCGGAUUUAUUGGGGUUAAAGGGUGCGUAGGCGGUCGGAUAAGUUAGAGGUGAAAUCCCGGGGCUCAACUUCGGAAUUGCCGUUGAUACUGGUCGGCUAGAGAGUAGGAGCGGUAGGCGGAAUGUAUGGUGUAGCGGUGAAAUGCGUAGAGAGCAUACAGAACACCGAUUGCGAAGGCAGCUUACCGGGCUACUACUGACGUUGAGGCACGAAAGCGUGGGGAGCAAACAGGAUUAGAUACCCUAGUAGUC